UUAUUUUUCAAUUCAUUUUCUUAUCCAGCGCCUGAAAAGUUUCUCGUUCAUCUUCUCCUAGAAAAGGAAUUCCGGCCUUCUACCAUCCGAGAUUCUCUAAAAUUUCCAGUUUUGGGAAGGAAUCAGAAAGUCCUGUCGAAAGUUUCUUUAAGAUAGACGGUUAGGAGGAGAUGAUGCGAAGACAUGUAUCCAAGCUUUUUCGGCAUUGUUUGGGAUCGCGGCGUUCUAAUUAUUCGAAUUGUGUUUCCUAAGGACUAAAAACGGCUUAACAAAAUGCAUGAAGGUUCCCCUACUUGCGGGUUUGGGGUCGAUGUAUGCAUUCUGAUCUAAAUUUACAGAGACGCAAUUUUUCAUUAAUCGACAACAUGACCUCCAAAAAUGCGCAUGCCGAUUUCAGGAUGCUUGGAAGGGUUACAGUCUUACCCUUGAAUUAUGGAGAGGGAGGUUGACAUACCCGUCUUUAUCUUUCCAAAGGGCUGUUUCAUAUUUUUCACAAUUGCGAUUCAAAAAUAGUAAAAGGUAUGCUUUACUUGAAAAAGGAAAUAAGUUCUAUUUUUCAUAGGGGAUGUUUGUUUACAAGUAGUAUUUAGUAAACUUCAGAAAUUCAGAUUUAUGGUCUAUUUGGGAUAGUUUAAGCUUAUUAAUAAGCUACUGGGCAAUAACUGCCUCAGGAAACUACCGUGGAAAAACUGCUGUGAAUGAGCUGACCGACCGUUUGUUUUCUGCGGUUUGAAAACAACUGUGAC
Long non-coding RNA from Phalaenopsis equestris, 746 nucleotides. RefSeq lists it as uncharacterized. NCBI's taxonomy places the organism in Eukaryota, Viridiplantae, Streptophyta, Magnoliopsida, Asparagales, Orchidaceae. The transcript is spliced from 3 exons. The record is from RefSeq and is a predicted model, not a curated record.